CUACGGGUCGCUCCAGUGAGGAAUAUUGCACAAUGGGGGGAACCCUGAUGCAGCAACGCCGCGUGGAGGAUGACGCAUUUCGGUGUGUAAACUCCUUUUAUAUGUCAAGAAAAUGACGGUAGCAUAUGAAUAAGCACCGGCUAACUCCGUGCCAGCAGCCGCGGUAAUACGGAGGGUGCAAGCGUUACUCGGAAUCACUGGGCGUAAAGGACGCGUAGGCGGGUUGGAAAGUCAGGUGUGAAAUCCUACAGCUUAACUGUAGAACUGCGCUUGGAACUUCUAAUCUAGAGUAUGGGAGGGGGAGAUGGAAUUAGUGGUGUAGGGGUAAAAUCCGUAGAUAUCACUAGGAAUACCUAAAGCGAAGGCGAUCUCCUGGAACAUUACUGACGCUAAGGCGUGAAAGCGUGGGGAGCAAACAGGAUUAGAUACCCCCGUAGUC
This 439-nucleotide ribosomal RNA is filed under the name uncultured bacterium. RNAcentral describes it as "partial 16S ribosomal RNA". It matches the Rfam family "Bacterial small subunit ribosomal RNA", at positions 339 to 795 of the family's 1533-position model. The record is from RNAcentral.